GAUGAACGCUGGCGGCGUGCCUAAUACAUGCAAGUCGAGCGAACAGACGAGGAGCUUGCUCCUCUGACGUUAGCGGAGGACGGGUGAGUAACAUGUGGAUAACCUACCUAUAAGACUGGGAUAACUUCGGGAAACCGGCGCUAAUACCGGAUAAUAUAUUGAACCGCAUGGUUCAAUAGUGAAAGACGGUUUUGCUGUUACUAAUAGAUGGUUCCGCGCCGCAUUAGCUAGUUGGUAAGGUAACGGCUUACCAAGGCAACGAUGCGUAGCCGACCUGAGGGGGUGAUCGGCCACACUGGAACUGAGACACGGUCCAGACUCCUACGGGAGGCACCAGUAGGGAAUCUUCCGCAAUGGGGGAAAGCCUGACGGAGCAACGCGGCGUGAGUGAUGAAGGUCUUCGGAUCGUAAAACUCGGUUAUUAGGGAAGAACAAAUGUGUAAGUAACUAUGCACGUCUUGACGGUACCUAAUCAGAAAGCCACGGCUAACUACGUG
RNAcentral lists this ribosomal RNA (497 nucleotides) under uncultured bacterium. RNAcentral's name for it is "partial 16S ribosomal RNA". It matches the Rfam family "Bacterial small subunit ribosomal RNA", at positions 28 to 507 of the family's 1533-position model. The record is from RNAcentral.